RNAcentral lists this long non-coding RNA (996 nucleotides) under Pan troglodytes (chimpanzee). Its description in RNAcentral is "lincRNA". Lineage: Eukaryota; Metazoa; Chordata; Mammalia; Primates; Hominidae. The record is from RNAcentral.
CCAGGACCAUUACACUGGGGACCGGCUUCUCUGCUCUCCCGUUAUGGGGGUCGGGGGAAUGAUGGGUCAAGAGUCUUCCGAAGAAAGCGAGAAAGGAACAGGCGCCUUCAAAAGCCCACUUGGCGAUGGGUUACAGUAAGAGGUUUCCCCUCCAGAUGCCGCUUCAGAGCCAGGCGAGCCAGGAAGGACCAGCGGGCGAGGUGGAAGUCUGCAUUAUCACGAGGAGCUUGGAAAGGAGGUAACACACUCAAUGCAAAUUUCAAGUAACUCAUCCUGGAGGCAGCUGCCUACUCUGCAGCUGUGGUUCUCCACCACAGAGAGAAGAAAAGGGAGGGAGAUGGAGUGCGCAGGUCUGAGAAGGCUUUCAUUCUGGAGCAUCUGCAGGAGCCUGCACCAUGGCCCAGUAGCACCCCUUUUUCUCCAUGAGCUGCUGGUGGGUUCCCCCCUCCCGGAUAGCGCCUCCUUCCAGAAAGAGGAUGUGGUCAGCCUGCUCCACCAGGCUGAGGUGCUGGGUGAUGAGAAGCACUGAGCGGGAGUACCGCUCAGGGCUUUCGUACAGGAGCUGCUCCACCUGAGGAAAGACAUCGGACCGUCAGAGCCGGGGACUACCCUCAGCCCAGGGAGACACCUGUGUUUCCAGGGCUGGGACUGACCUCACAGGAUCACUGCUGGCUCUGCUAACAACCCCAAGGACACCAACGCUUCCCAUUCUGAGUACUUCUCCACAAACCCUUUGUUUCAUUAAGGACUGUUUUACAUGAAGGGUGCAAAAGUAGGAUAAAAAUGAGAACCCUAGGGUGAAACACAUGACAGAAGAAUAAAGACUAUUGAAUAGUCCUCUUCUCUACCCAUGGACUUGGAAUUUUUAUAUUCGAUUUUAAGGAAAUAUAACUUAGUAGUAAAGAGAUGAGCAUUCAAGUCAGGCAGACCUGAAUUUGGGUCAAGGCUGCGCCACUCAAAAGCUAUAUGACCUCUAUAUGAGCAGCUUAUUCAUCC